UAGAGUUUGAUCAUGGCUCAGAUUGAACGCUGGCGGCAGGCCUAACACAUGCAAGUCGAGCGGAAACGACACUAACAAUCCUUCGGGUGCGUUAAUGGGCGUCGAGCGGCGGACGGGUGAGUAAUGCCUAGGAAAUUGCCUUGAUGUGGGGGAUAACCAUUGGAAACGAUGGCUAAUACCGCAUAAUGCCAAGGGCCAAAGAGGGGGACCUUCGGGCCUCUCGCGUCAAGAUAUGCCUAGGUGGGAUUAGCUAGUUGGUGAGGUAAUGGCUCACCAAGGCGACGAUCCCUAGCUGGUCUGAGAGGAUGAUCAGCCACACUGGAACUGAGACACGGUCCAGACUCCUACGGGAGACAGCAGUGGGGAAUAUUGCACAAUGGGCGAAAGCCUGAUGCAGCCAUGCCGCGUGUAUGAAGAAGGCCUUCGGGUUGUAAAGUACUUUCAGUUGUGAGGAAGGGGGUAGCGUUAAUAGCGCUAUCUCUUGACGUUAGCAACAGAAGAAGCACCGGCUAACUCCGUGCCAGCAGCCGCGGUAAUACGGAGGGUGCGAGCGUUAAUCGGAAUUACUGGGCGUAAAGCGCAUGCAGGUGGUUCAUUAAGUCAGAUGUGAAAGCCCGGGGCUCAACCUCGGAACUGCAUUUGAAACUGGUGAACUAGAGUACUGUAGAGGGGGGUAGAAUUUCA
RNAcentral lists this ribosomal RNA (684 nucleotides) under uncultured Vibrionaceae bacterium. Its description in RNAcentral is "bacterial SSU rRNA". It matches the Rfam family "Bacterial small subunit ribosomal RNA", at positions 1 to 671 of the family's 1533-position model. Lineage: Bacteria; Pseudomonadati; Pseudomonadota; Gammaproteobacteria; Vibrionales; Vibrionaceae. The record is from RNAcentral.